GUGAUUCUCCUUCCUCAGCCUCCUGAGUAGCCAGGACUACAGGUAUGUCUUUAUUUGCAGUGUGAGAACAGACUAAUAUACCAGUCCCUGGAUUGAUACAUGAAAAAGGAAGAGAUAAGAGAUCAAUGUCCUGCAUCAAUGGUGUCCAGUAUCUGAAAACUGAUAUUUCUUAGACUUUCAAGGAGAUUGGAACCACCAGGACCAUCUGGAUAUCCCACAGAAGACCACACUGAUCCAUUAUUACACUGAUGACAUCAUGCUGAUUGGGCAAGACAAGCAAGCGGUAACUAGGUCUUGGUAAUCCAGAGGAUGGAAGAUACAUUUAUGGAGACUUAUGGCCUUGACACAUGGGUGAAGUUUUUAGGGAACAUACUCAGGAGUGUGUCAGGAUAUCUCUUCCAAAUAAAAGAUAAAUUGCUGCACAAUGCCUAAUGGUCCUCUUUUGGUUCUAGAGGCAGUAUAUUCUAUACCCAGAAGCUGUGCCCUGGCCCAUAUACACAAAGGCUAUCAGCUAUGACACAGCACCCUUGAUCCUUGCACCAUAUGGUUCAGUCAACACGAUGCUA
Molecule: long non-coding RNA, 566 nt
Organism: Cercocebus atys (sooty mangabey)
Lineage: Eukaryota; Metazoa; Chordata; Mammalia; Primates; Cercopithecidae
Exons: 4
Source: RefSeq, a predicted model, not a curated record